RNAcentral lists this ribosomal RNA (640 nucleotides) under Listeria monocytogenes. RNAcentral describes it as "bacterial SSU rRNA". It matches the Rfam family "Bacterial small subunit ribosomal RNA", at positions 861 to 1502 of the family's 1533-position model. Lineage: Bacteria; Bacillati; Bacillota; Bacilli; Caryophanales; Listeriaceae. The record is from RNAcentral.
UAAGCACUCCGCCUGGGGAGUACGACCGCAAGGUUGAAACUCAAAGGAAUUGACGGGGGCCCGCACAAGCGGUGGAGCAUGUGGUUUAAUUCGAAGCAACGCGAAGAACCUUACCAGGUCUUGACAUCCUUUGACCACUCUGGAGACAGAGCUUUCCCUUCGGGGACAAAGUGACAGGUGGUGCAUGGUUGUCGUCAGCUCGUGUCGUGAGAUGUUGGGUUAAGUCCCGCAACGAGCGCAACCCUUGAUUUUAGUUGCCAGCAUUUAGUUGGGCACUCUAAAGUGACUGCCGGUGCAAGCCGGAGGAAGGUGGGGAUGACGUCAAAUCAUCAUGCCCCUUAUGACCUGGGCUACACACGUGCUACAAUGGAUAGUACAAAGGGUCGCGAAGCCGCGAGGUGGAGCUAAUCCCAUAAAACUAUUCUCAGUUCGGAUUGUAGGCUGCAACUCGCCUACAUGAAGCCGGAAUCGCUAGUAAUCGUGGAUCAGCAUGCCACGGUGAAUACGUUCCCGGGCCUUGUACACACCGCCCGUCACACCACGAGAGUUUGUAACACCCGAAGUCGGUAGGGUAACCUUUAUGGAGCCAGCCGCCGAAGGUGGGACAGAUAAUUGGGGUGAAGUCGUAACAAGGUAGCCG